CAGAGGGCUUUUCUGUACAGUUGCAGCUUCCCAGCACCACCGCCAGACAUAUGAGUAAUUGGCUGAGCAGCUCUGCAGAGCAGUCUCCUUGCAGUGUCCAAGCUGAAACGCAGAAGUAAAAAUAAGCCCAGUGUUAAUCUUGAGGAAUCAUAGGAUCAAAAACCUUGUAGAGAGCAAAAGUCAUGAAGAAAAAUAUUUUCUUAAAGAAAAAUUUUGUGGACAAAUUUGGUGUGUUUUUUAAGGGGCAUCCUGUGAUCUUGCAACGUGCUUCUGAGAUCCUUUCUUCUCAUCAUAGCUUGUAGGAUAGCUUUAAAUUAAUAAUAAGGAAGCCAUUCAGGGCAUUGGCUGUGUUGAGGUUCACAGCUUUCAUUCUGAAUGAGAGAAUAAAGUAAACUGAUAUUGAAAGCAAGGAGGGAGAAACAAACAGUCAGUAAGCCUAUAAAAGUCUUAGCCAAUUGCAAUGGCGAACAUCCUGCUGGCGAGGGUGACCUUGAAUGAACUAAGUGGGAUAAAGUCACCAGGCUGGACUGGCAGCUGAAGAACCAGGCUGGAUUCCAGCGAACAGAGAGCAGAUUCCUGACAAGAAUCUCCUGAACUCUGGCAAUGGCUUCUCGGUGUCGGAAAUGUGGACAACAGGUGCCCAGGAAUCCACCUUUCACCGCUGUUCGGAUAACAGAAGGAGAAAUGAAAUCUUAUCAUGAUUUCAUAGGAGGAUGCAUUAGACUGGAGUGUAUGGCAAAGAAAGAUGAAAUCAUGCAGCAGGAGAUACGGCCGCUGGUUGCAGUGGAUAUAAUAGAACAGCUACACAGACAAUUUGCUAUCUUAUCAGGAGGAAGAGGGAAGGAUGGAGCACCAAUUAUUACCUUCCCAGAGUUUGCAGGAUUCAGUGAAAUACCUGAUGAGGAUUUUCUCAAUGUGGUCACGUACCUAACCAGCAUCCCCAGUCUGGAGGCUGCCAGCAUUGGAUUCAUCAUCAUCAUAGACAGACGACGAGACAAAUGGAGCGCAGUCAAGGCAUCCCUGACACGGAUAGCAGGAGCAUUUCCAGGAAACCUACAGCUGGUAUUUGUCCUGCGUCCUUCACGCUUUAUCCAAAGGGCAAUCGCUGACAUAGGCAUUAAACUCUAUCGAGAUGACUUUAAAAUGAAGGUACCGAUCAUCAUGCUAAAUUCUGUCUCUGAUCUUCAUGGCUAUAUUGAUAAAUGUCAGCUGACCCGAGAGCUGGGAGGAACCCUGGAGUAUGGCCACAGUCAGUGGAUACAUCACCGAACUGCUAUUGAAAACUUCGCAAUGACAGUGAAAACAACAGCACAGAUGCUACAGACCUUUGGAACGGACUUAGCAGAGACUGAACUUCCCAAUGAUGUGCAGUGUACAGAGGACCUCCUAUCUGCACACACUGACCACCAUAGCAAGCUGAAGGAUGAGCUAAAACUGGCUGUGAAGCAGGGGGCCACACUACUGACGUGCAUUAGGGAGCCAGUCACCCGAAGUGCCAACAGCAAACUCAGUCCAGAUGAACUGGAAAAUGUGGCAACAGUGGAAAGGUUGUUGGCUCAGUUGGAUGAAACAGAAAAGGCUUUUGAUCAGUUUUGGACCAGGCAUCACCUAAAACUUGAACAAUGCUUGCAGCUUCGUCACUUUGAACAUGAUUUUAGAGAAGUAAAAUUAACGCUGGAUAAUCUCAUGGAAGCACAAGCAGGUUUUUCUGAUGUUGGAGACAGUGUGUCUCGAGUAGAACACCUCCUGAGGGAACAGAAACAACUGGAAGAAAAAGGACAGGAACCUUUGGAGAAAGCCCAGACUCUAGCUCUCCAUGGAGAACAGCUCAUCCAAAACAACCAUUAUGCAGUUGACUCCAUUAGACCAAAGUGUGUUGAACUCAGGCGUAUUUGCGAUGACUUUACUAACGAGACCAAGAAAAAGUAUGAUAUUUUGGGGAAGUCUCUCGAGCUGCAUAAGCAAUUAGAUAAGGCAAGCCAAUGGUGUGAAGCUGGAAUCUACCUCUUAGCUUCCCAAGCUGUGGACAAGUGCCAGUCACAAGAGGGAGCUGAAACUGCACUAGUUGAAAUAGAGAAGUUCCUGGCAACAGCAAAGGAGCACCAACUCUCGAACCCAAAGGAGUUCUACAAUCAGUUUGAUACGAUUCUCACACCUGAAAUAAAGGCCAAUGCCCAAAAGAUUUUACAAAAACUAGAAGAUGUACAAGAAAUGUUUGACAAGAGACAAGUGAGUCUGAAGAAGCUAGCAGCCAAACAGACCCGGCCAGUACAACCUGUCGCCCCACAUCCUGAAUCUUCCCCGAAACGAGCAUCACCAAAGACUACCAGACCAGCAGGAGUAGCUACCAACAGGAGGUCUGCAGAAAUUACUUGUCCUCCAAAGACCAUCUCUGAUGCAGAGUUAUCAAAAAAGAAAAGCAUUAAGAAGACUAAAGGUGGAAUUAAGAUUGAAGUGAUGCAUGAAGCGAGCCAAGGGGGAUCGAGCAGAGUCCUGGUUAUGAGUGAAAGCGAUGAGAACCUGUCGACGAGGAGGAGCCACAUAAUCAAUGAGCUGAUAGAAACUGAACGCGUUUAUGUAGAAGAACUCCAAAGCAUAAUAGAGGGAUAUGCUUCAGAAAUGGACAAUCCAAGUUUAUUACAUCUGAUUCCAUCAAUGCUCCAGAACAAGAAGGAUAUUCUAUUUGGGAACCUCCCAGAAAUCUAUGACUUCCACAACAGGAUUUUCCUUAAGGAGUUGGAAAAUUGCAUUGAAAAUCCUGAGCUCCUCGCCCGAUGCUUUUUGAAAAGGAAAGAGGACCUCCAAAUAUAUGAAAAAUACUGUCAGAACAAGCCAAGGUCUGAAGCUCUCUGGAGGCAGUGUGGAGACAGCAUCUUUUUUCAGGAAUGUCAGCGUAAACUGGAUCAUAAGCUCUCACUAGAUGCGUAUCUUCUAAAGCCGGUCCAGAGAAUUACCAAGUACCAGCUGCUAUUAAAGGAAAUGCUGAAAUGUAGCAAGAAUUCAGAGGGUACUGCUGAACUGGAAGAGGCCUUGGCCACAGUGCUUGAUAUCAUCAAAUCCGUAAAUGACUCCAUGCACCAGAUAGCAAUCACGGGAUACGAGGGGGAUGUAGGUGAGCUUGGUAAGCUGUUGAUGCAAGGUUCCUUCAACGUGUGGACUGACCACAAGAAGGGUCACAACAAGGUGAAGGACUUGGCAAGAUUCAAACCGAUGCAGAGACACCUCUUCCUCUACACAAAGAUGCUGCUUUUUUGCAAGAAACGAGAGGAAAACACAGAUGGUCAUGAGAAGACAGCUUCAUACAGCUUUAAAAAUUCAUUAAAGAUGAGCACAGUGGGCAUCACAGAAAAUGUAAAAGGAGAUAACAAGAAGUUUGAGAUCUGGUAUAAUGGCAGAGAAGAAGUCUAUAUCAUUCAGGCAUCUUCCGUUGAGCUGAAAAACACUUGGAUUUCUGAGAUACGCAAAGUUCUAACAGGGCAACUGGAAGCAUGUAGAGAAGCAAGUCAACUACACCAAAGAAUCACUGAGAGUGUGUACCAUGCACCAAUGAAUUCCUCCAAUAUAACCAGGUAUAGCAGAAAGUCAUCGAGCAUGUAUGAAAACAAAUCCGAGACAUCAAAUGUGGAAGCAUCUAACAACAAAAACAGGAAUUCCAGUCCCAGUGCCAGACAAAAGAGAGUUGAUGCUCCCACCAGCCUUAACCCUGAGCGCACAGCUCUUGCUAGAAAGCGAUUCACAUUGCAAGGUCUUUCCAACCGCAGAGCUCCACCCAAAGAUCCAGAAUCUAAGGAAAGAGAAGUUGCCCGUCGCUUUUCCCUAGCCUCCUCCAUCAGCACCACAGUUAAUGCAUCUGCUGUGACCAAAGGUCCCCUUGUUCCUGCAGUUAAAGUCAAGAGACAUGAAAUAAAGAGUGACCCAACUCCCCUGGGGUUUGAAGAUGCUUUUGAGAACACCAUAUUGGCCCAGACUAAAUGUAGCACUGGUUCCACCACAAGACCCGUACCUAGAUCUGCUUCACAGACAGGUUGGCCCAGUAAGCAAAUGCCCUCUCUAGACACAUUUGAAGACUUUGAAGCCAUUCCUUCCAGCAUGGAUGAACUCUCCAACUCUUCAGACAUGGAGGAAGAAACCAACCCCAACAAUGGGACCAAUCUUUUUCGAGUAGAAGGCAGUUUUGACAGCUGUUUCCCAGAUUCUCUUACACUUGAGGAUGGAGAUCUAGUGCAGUUUGUGCAGGAAGGAGAAAACGGGCAAUGGUUAGUGAAGAAGUUGGUCUCGGAAAAAAGUGAGUGGGUUCCUUCCAGUAUAUUGCAGCCAGCAGAGGGGGACACUAACAACAUAAUUAAGAACAGCAAUGCAGACAUGUACAACGAUUCCUGCAGCACUGCUUCACUUGAGUCGGACACCAAGGAGAGUGAGGUGGCUAAAAGCUUCCCAGCAGAGCAGAAGGCUGGCAGCUGAAUGGCAGGACAGGCCUUCCUCAGGACCCUCUCCAUCUCUUUGCUUAUUUUGGAUUGACACUGGAUCAAAGUUGCCUUUCUCACAAGCUCUGAGCUUCAUAAUUCUCUGAAACUUCAUUAACAUGGACAGUUGAGAGGAAAAACAAACUUGAGAGGAACAUUAAACAUCCAGACAACAUCAAGAACCAUCUUCAGUAUUAGAGGAGAAAAAUGCUUCUUGCAUUGUUUAUCAAACUGUUUCAAAAGAUGUGGCCUAAAUUAGGUCGACAGCAGAGCUGAAGAGUUACUAUGCACGCACCUUUUGGCAACUUUCCUUGAACACCGAGUUACUGCAGAGGGACACACACAUGGCUUGGAGUUCUUGCUCUACCAUGAGUCACUUGGAGGUUUUUCCAUUUGCUUGCCUCAGUAGCUGUGCCUUCCCCACCCUCCUUAAUCACAGCUGAUAGAUCACAAAUGUGCCCUUAUUGCUGAUGGUCAUCACCAAAACUGUCACACGUUAUAGAAUGGAUGUGAAAAGGAAACUUCUGACUUGGACCAUCAGAGAGGUUUCAUGCAGCAAUGGCACAGUGAACAACCUGUUGCAUUCAGCAUUAGUUUGGAAUAAUGCAGAUGGCAACUUGAUAUAUGGUGGAGAUGCAGGUCUUAGCCAAGAAGCAACGAUGCUGGGACAGCUACUGUGACACAGAACAUAUUUAAGUCUUUUUAUGAUAUAAGUCAUUCCUCUGCACCCUCUGCAGUCUGUGGUGGCUGGUUCACAAUCCUUUGCAUUUGGUGCCGAGAACUCAAAUGGAUGCCAUUUAAUGUCAUAUGUUUGGGUAGACUGCAUGCUUUCUUUUUGUGCUGGGCUAUGGAGUAGCUACAUUUCAUUCCCCAUAUGGAAUAUAUUUAAGCUUCACAAAUAGACAGUGAGAGUUAGAUGCUCCAAUGAGUGGGUAAAGUGUUAUUGUUAAAUACUUAUUUCCGGGAUGUUUGGCUAUAAGACUGUACCAAAUCUCUGCCACAAAAGGAUGUAAUGUAUUAUAAGAAGUGAUUACAGAUUUUAUUAUUUCUUUACAAGCCAUUAGCUCAUUUAGAGCAGCUGUUAAGACAUGAAAGCAUUUUGAUGGUAAUCGGGUCUUAGGUCCCACAAAAGCUGCUAGUACCUAAGUUAAGAUGAGAAUUGACUAAGGGUUGCAAACAAGUAGAGAUCAGACAGGAAGAAGUGACCCUAGGAGCUCGAGAAUUGGUGAUUGGCUUUUACCAUUAGAGAUUUUCUGUUUAUCCCUUAGAGUAGUGAUGCUCUAUGUAAAUAAUAAAAGGGACAAAAGCACUAAAAAUGGAGAUGAAGCAAAACCAAAAAUCACUCCUUGGUAAAAUAGCAAAAUAGUGAGUUUCUGACAUUUCUGUUAUCCUCUUUGCAGAGAACUGAACAAUUUUCUUUGUGUUUCAGUGAAGGCUGGUAUUGCAGAUAUCUUAGUGUGUGAGUCAGGAUAGCUGUGAAGCAAGUAAAUAGUCCCAUUCAAGAAAAAGCCUCGAAUAUUUUUUGCACGGCCUGAUAACAGUGCUCCUGUCUACCCUUGCCCUAAGCACAGGAGAGGAAAGGGGAAGGGAGCUUUGAUUGCACAUUAAGUAAGUAUAGUAAGAUUUGUGUGUGAGCGAGAGAGAGAGAUGGGGAAAGGUUACCCUGCGAAUGUGAAACUGCCAAAACUAGUAUUUGUGUCCUUACACACUCAUGGAAAGACCCCAACCUGCACUUUGGAGUUUCAAGUGAAGGAAUCUCAUUCUAACGGUGAAAUAGCAGUGGGAAUUCUUUGUUUGAACAGGGGGUGGAAAAUCGGGUAUUGCGAAUCCUCAUCCUACCUCUGCUGUGUGCAGACUGACAGGGAGAUAUUCCUAUCACCCUGGUGUCUCUCUGAUUAAAAUGGGAGAUACUGAAUUUCCCUCAUAUCCACUUGAUGUUGAACUCUAGUAUGUAUUCAAAAAUGGAAGACCCUUCAGGGGAAAGCAAAGCAUUCACCCAUAUGUGUCCCACUGUGCCCUACAAGAGUGUCAGUGGUGGCAUCCUAUGGGGUAGUCUGGAGCUGAAGCAGGGAAGCAGACCACUACAAAGGUGUCUCAUGUCUCCCAGCACACUGACUCACGGCAAAGGUUUGGGCUGUGUUAGUACAGUUCUCAUUCCUACUUUGUUUUUGAAUUAUUAUUACUAUUUUUCCAAAAAUUCACAUUUUUUCUUGUUUGACCAAAGGUUAAGUCACUCCUGCACUAUAAAUGUCCUGAGGAUGACUAGUAACUCCCUGCCCCGUGGCUGCAUGCAGUACAUGAGAUUUGCAGCAACUUCACAUCCUUGAAAGUAUUCCCUCUGCUCAUUUGGGUUUAGUUGGGCAAUGGACUCCAUCAUUACUGGAGUCAGUGACAAACUGGUAUACAGGCAAUCACCAUGAUGUCAAUCAAGGCCAGAAAGUAACCAGGCUUGAUCCUCUCCUUCUUCCACUGCCUAACACCACUGAAUGGAGAAUCAAACCAAUGGUUGUUGUCUGGGCCAUAAAUGGCUGCAGCCAAACCUUGUUUGGACAUUGGCUUUUGUUGCCAGUCACAACAAAGCUGUGCGCGUGGUCUUAUAUUCUGUUUGUGUAUGUAAUGAAAAGCCAUUUUAUUAUCCAUUGUUUUCUUAGUCUCUGAGAUUACAAGCAGGGUUGGGUAUGAAAAAGGCCUUGUUUUUCCCUUCCAAAAAUACUCGAAGCCUGAAUUCAAAUAUAUGUAUGAUGAGAAAUAUUUAAGAAUAAGGAGAAGAAAAUGAGAGCCAAAUUCACUGUUUCUUCCUGCAGCUAGAACUGAAAUAGCUGCCAAGACUUCCUCUCCCCAGCUUAGAAUUGGUACAGUUUGUUUCCUACAUAUUUUCCAUUGUGUUGAUAAUGAUGUAUUUGUAUAUUGUGGCUGAUGAGAGAUAAUCAGACAGGGAAAGAGCACAGAAUUACCUGCUCUUUUUUCCAGUCAAGAUGAAUGUAUGAAAUUAUUACAAGGAAAAAAAAAAAAAAGUGUGCAAAUGAGCUUUCUGUAAUUCUGACCUGUGUAAAACCACACUUUGUUUGAAAUUUAUAAAAACUAUAACUAGUACAAAA
Molecule: non-coding RNA, 7561 nt
Organism: Coturnix japonica (Japanese quail)
Lineage: Eukaryota; Metazoa; Chordata; Aves; Galliformes; Phasianidae
Source: RefSeq, a predicted model, not a curated record